AACGAAUGCUGGCGGCAAGCCUAACACAUGCAAGUCGAACGGGUUACAUUUGUAGCUUGCUACAAAUGUAAUUAGUGGCAGACGGGUGAGUAAUGCAUAGGGAUCUACCCAGUAGUAUGGGAUAGCCACUAGAAAUGGUGGGUAAUACUGUAUAAUCCCCGCGGGGGAAAGAUUUAUCGCUAUUAGAUGAGCCUAUGUUAGAUUAGCUAGUUGGUAGGGUAAAGGCCUACCAAGGCGGUGAUCUAUAGCUGGUCUGAGAGGAUGAUCAGCCACACUGGAACUGAGAUACGGUCCAGACUCCUACGGGAGGCAGCAGUGGGGAAUAUUGGACAAUGGGCGCAAGCCUGAUCCAGCUAUGCCGCGUGAGUGAGGAAGGCCUUAGGGUUGUAAAACUCUUUCAGUAGGGAAGAUAAUGACGGUACCUACAGAAGAAGUCC
RNAcentral lists this ribosomal RNA (437 nucleotides) under uncultured Anaplasma sp. RNAcentral describes it as "bacterial SSU rRNA". It matches the Rfam family "Bacterial small subunit ribosomal RNA", at positions 29 to 493 of the family's 1533-position model. The record is from RNAcentral. Lineage: Bacteria; Pseudomonadati; Pseudomonadota; Alphaproteobacteria; Rickettsiales; Anaplasmataceae.